UUGGAGAAUGAGUGCAAGGUUUUACUGAGUGGAAGUAGCUCUCAGCAGAUUGGGAAGCCAGAAGGGAGAUGGUUUUCCCCUGGAGUUAGGCUGCUUAGCAGCCUGGGCUCUCCUCCAACCACCCCAGCCAAACUCCGUGUCAUUCCACAAGUCGAUGGCCCGCUGGUGUGCUGGCCUCUGUCGUGUGCUCUUAUGCCGGUGUGCUCCCCUUGAUGGCUCCUCGACGUCCAGCCACUUGUGUCUUCUUCCGCUGAUGUGCUCCUCUGGAUGUCCAGCCGCUUGUGUGCCUGCUUGCUAGGGUCUCAGGGUUUUUAUAGGCAAAGGAUGGGGGCGUGGUCGGCCAGGAUGGUCUUAGGAAAUGCAACAUUUGGGUGCGAAGGCAGGAGUGCCUGUCUUCACCUAGGUCCAUGGGCACAGGCCCAGGGGUGGAGACCUCGCCAGGGACCUGCCCUUCUCCUCCCAGCACCUCCCUGCCCGCCUUCCUUAUCACCAACACCAUGAGUCUGGACUGUCAGCCUCCAGAACUGUGAGACAAUAAACUUCUGUUUUCAGCCAAGCAGUUUGUGGUGCAUUGUUACAUCAUCUCUAGGAAACUAAAGCAACAACUUUGAAGCUAGACUCUCUGCCUCCAUCUACCCUCGAAUCCAUUUUCCACACAACCUUCUACCAGGCGAGUUUUCUAUCAUUUUCCAUCACGGGUUCCCCAUUGCAGACAGUUUCCAUAUUUACGUGAUCUUUGCGACCCCACAUGAUGUGGCCCCAGUUCACUCCUCUGACUUAUUGCAUGCUCUAUACCCAUUCAGUCUCGGGUCUUUGCUCCAACCCAACCUAACUGCUUGUAGCUCAUGCCGUAUGUUUCUCGCCCUUCUUUGCUGAUGCUGUUCCUUCUGCAUGGAAUCCUUCAGAUAGUCAGAUCUGAACCUCAGUUGUAUUUGUAAAGUGGUGAUAAUACUCUACCUCAUAGAAUGUUUGGAGAGCCAAAUGAGAUCUUGAAUGUAAAGAUCUUAGCACCAUGCUUACCUUAUAUCAAAGCUCAGUGGCAAAAAAUAGAAACCAGCACAGUGUUUUCAAGCAGAGGAGGUUUUAAAUGCUUUUUAAAUUGUUGAAAGUGCUGAAAGAGCUUGCUCUAGAUGGGCCUUCAGGAAUGACUCCAAGAUCACAGCAGAUCUGACCCACCAGGGGAGCUGCUACUGCUCAUACAUCAGGAAGAUGAGAAUUCAGGAGGCUUCCCCUGGCUGGAACCCCUGACUUCAGCAACAUCUUUGCCUUAACUGAGAUCCAGAGGUCAGGAAGCUACCGCAACUGAACCUUGUGCUAGAGCCACACAAGCUAAACAUGGAUUUCCACCCCUGCUCCUCUUGUUCCCCAUGAAGCUAAUGCCUGGAUGCAGAACCUCUCUUCCCAAAGUCCAACAACUCCAUGACCUUAGUUGCCAGCAGAAGUGACCAGAAGUGCUAUCUACAUCUUCUCUCGAGUCUCAUUCAAAAGCAUGUGAUUCACAGAGUCUAAACCACGUCCACACUCUCCAGCUGCAAAGGAAUCCAGGGAAUAUAGUUUUCAGCUCUCCAGCCUCUAUAGUACAGAAAGACAUUCCAGACGCAGCUUUCAGCUCAUGGAGGCCUUUAAAAGGAGAUUCAUCGGUCAGGUGCAGUGGCUCACGCCUGUAAUCCCAACACUUGGGGAAACCGAUGCGGGCGGAUCACAAGGUCAGGAGAUCGAGGCCAUCCUGGUCAACAUGGUGAAACCCCGUCUCUACUGAAAAUACAAAAAUUAGCUGGGCAUGGUGGCACAUGCCUGUAAUCCCAGCUACUCAGGAGGCUGAGGCAGGAGAAUCGCUUGAACCAGGGAGUCGGAGGUUUCAGAGAGCCAAGAUCACACCACUGCACUCCAGAGUGAGACUCCGUCUCAAAAACAAAACAAAACAAAGGAAACAAACAACAAAAACGGAGAUCCAUCAACCGAUUUUGACUCAAGGUAGAUGAAUACUUGUGACCUAAAAAAAGGAAAAGGAAAAUAUUACAUAACGUCUAACACUUUUUUUUCAU
Molecule: long non-coding RNA, 2045 nt
Filed under: Homo sapiens (human)
Lineage: Eukaryota; Metazoa; Chordata; Mammalia; Primates; Hominidae
Description: HSALNT0337196
Source: RNAcentral